This 505-nucleotide ribosomal RNA is filed under the name Cervidellus vexilliger. RNAcentral describes it as "SSU rRNA". It matches the Rfam family "Eukaryotic small subunit ribosomal RNA", at positions 88 to 590 of the family's 1831-position model. The record is from RNAcentral. Lineage: Eukaryota; Metazoa; Nematoda; Chromadorea; Rhabditida; Cephalobidae.
CGCGAAUGGCUCAUUACAACAGCUAUAAUUUACUUGAUCUUGACACAAUCCUACUUGGAUAACUGUGGUAAUUCUAGAGCUAAUACAUGCAUUAAAGCUCUGACCUCACGGGAAGAGUGCAUUUAUUAGAACAAAACCAAGCGGCUUCGGCUGUUUCUGGUUGACUCAUAGUAACUGAGCUGAUCGCAUGGUCUUGCACCGGCGACGUGUCCUUCAAGUAUCUGCCGUAUCAACUUUCGAUGGUAGUGUAUCUGACUACCAUGGUGAUCACGCGUAACGGAGAAUAAGGGUUCGGCUCCGGAGAGUUCGCCUGAGAAAUCGCGAACACAUCUAAGGAAGGCAGCUGGCGCGAAAAUUACCCACUCUCAGCACGAGGAGGUAGUGACGAAAAAUAACGAGACCGUUCUCUUAUGAGGCCGGUCAUCGGAAUGGGUACAAUUUAAACCCUUUAACGAGUAUCUAUGAGAGGGCAAGUCUGGUGCCAGCAGCCGCGGUAAUUCCAGCU